This 447-nucleotide ribosomal RNA is filed under the name uncultured bacterium. RNAcentral's name for it is "bacterial SSU rRNA". It matches the Rfam family "Bacterial small subunit ribosomal RNA", at positions 355 to 793 of the family's 1533-position model. The record is from RNAcentral.
UGGGGAAUAUUGCACAAUGGGCGCAAGCCUGAUGCAGCCAUGCCGCGUGUAUGAAGAAGGCCUUCGGGUUGUAAAGCACUUUCAGUCGUGAGGAAGGUAGUGUAGUUAAUAGCUGCAUCAUUUGACGUUAGCGACAGAAGAAGCACCGGCUAACUCCGUGCCAGCAGCCGCGGUAAUACGGAGGGUGCGAGCGUUAAUCGGAAUUACUGGGCGUAAAGCGCAUGCAGGUGGUUUGUUAAGUCAGAUGUGAAAGCCCCGGGCUCAACCUCGGAAUAGCAUUUGAAACUGGCAGACUAGAGUACUGUAGAGGGGGUAGGAAUUUCAGGUGUAGCGGUGAAAUGCGUAGAGAUCUGAAGGAAUACCGGUGGCGAAGGCGGCCCCCUGGACAGAUACUGACACUCAGAUGCGAAAGCGUGGGGAGGCAAACAGGAUUAGAUACCCUGGUAG